This 338-nucleotide long non-coding RNA is filed under the name Gossypium raimondii (Peruvian cotton). RNAcentral's name for it is "long non-coding RNA (GRAI_LNC010196)". The record is from RNAcentral. Lineage: Eukaryota; Viridiplantae; Streptophyta; Magnoliopsida; Malvales; Malvaceae.
UCAUGAUACCCACUUUUGAGUGUCACAAUGUUGAUCCUAUAUACCCCGUUUUGUAUCGUUUAAACACUGAAUAACCCCAUUUGUAAUUAAAGUUUAAGGAUAAAACCAUAAUAUAACAUAAUAAUAGAAAUAAACCCAAAAUACAACAACUGUAGUAGCCCAAUUUUGCUCAGCCCAACAAAAAUAAAUAAACCAAAACAAAUAAAUCAAAGUUCAUUAAAUAGUCCAUAUUACAAAAAAACUCUAAAGCCCAAUAGCCCAAAACCUAAACAAAAAAAAAGAAAGAAAACCUUAAUUCCCCUAAGACUUCACCAGCCGCUGCUGCUCCUCUCCACGCC